UCAAAUAGCUUCAGUUGCUCAUCUAAACUCCCAAAUGUGCAUAAACCCUAGAUCUGUCAGAAACAAUUUGUUGAGCACCAGUUAUAUAUGAAGGUUUCUGAAUCAUUUCAAUCAAUUUGCUUGUUCACUCAGGUUUGCAUGUACCUCAGGCAAGACUCCUCACAAUUGGGUUCUCCUCCACUUGUUUACUUGCAUUGUCUAAACCCUACUAUCUUAUUCCUUGCGAAUUGUG
Molecule: long non-coding RNA, 232 nt
Filed under: Panax ginseng (ginseng)
Lineage: Eukaryota; Viridiplantae; Streptophyta; Magnoliopsida; Apiales; Araliaceae
Description: long non-coding RNA (PGIN_LNC015481)
Source: RNAcentral